UUUCGGGUCUGUGGUUGCAAGUCGAUGCCAGUCGCAGGCAAAACGAUCCACGUAAGCGGGGAAAAGCCCCGUGAGCAUGGUGCGGCUUAGAGGUAAGCCCAGCCGGGGUAUAUGCCCCGAGAGGAGCAGUAGUGGGGGGCAUAUGCCUAGGAGCGAACCUUCCAGCUGGCGGGUGUGGGGUCAAAGACCAGGUCAGCCGAA
RNAcentral lists this non-coding RNA (201 nucleotides) under human gut metagenome. Its description in RNAcentral is "raiA RNA". It matches the Rfam family "raiA RNA". The record is from RNAcentral.